UGAACGCUAGCUACAGGCUUAACACAUGCAAGUCGAGGGGCAGCAUAUAGAUAGCUUGCUAUUUAUGAUGGCGACCGGCGCACGGGUGCGUAACACGUAUCCAAUCUACCCAUGGCUCAGGGAUAGCCUUCCGAAAGAAAGAUUAAUACCUGAUGGUCUCAUUCCAGGACAUCCUGUUAUGAGUAAAGAUUUAUCGGCGAUGGAUGAGGAUGCGUCCGAUUAGCUGGUUGGCGGGGUAACGGCCCACCAAGGCGACGAUCGGUAGGGGUUCUGAGAGGAAGGUCCCCCACACUGGAACUGAGACACGGUCCAGACUCCUACGGGAGGCAGCAGUGAGGAAUAUUGGUCAAUGGGCGGGUGCCUGAACCAGCCAAGUAGCGUGAGGGACGACGGCCCUACGGGUUGUAAACCUCUUUUGUGCGGGAAUAAAGUGCCCUACGCGUAGGGUUUUGCAUGUACCGUACGAAUAAGCAUCGGCUAAUUCCGUGCC
RNAcentral lists this ribosomal RNA (490 nucleotides) under uncultured bacterium. RNAcentral describes it as "bacterial SSU rRNA". It matches the Rfam family "Bacterial small subunit ribosomal RNA", at positions 30 to 509 of the family's 1533-position model. The record is from RNAcentral.